This 253-nucleotide ribosomal RNA is filed under the name uncultured bacterium. RNAcentral's name for it is "partial 16S ribosomal RNA". It matches the Rfam family "Bacterial small subunit ribosomal RNA", at positions 524 to 776 of the family's 1533-position model. The record is from RNAcentral.
UACAGAGGUGGCGAGCGUUGUUCGGAUUUACUGGGCGUAAAGGGUGCGUAGGCGGCCGCGUGUGUUGGAUGUGAAAUCCCAUGGCUCAACCAUGGAAAGGCAUCCAAAACUGCGUGGCUAGAGUUCAGAAGAGGAGAGUGGAAUUCUUGGUGUAGCGGUGAAAUGCGCAGAUAUCAAGAGGAACACCGGUGGCGAAGGCGGCUCUCUGGAAUGAAACUGACGCUGAGGCACGAAAGCCGGGGGAGCAAAAAGG